RNAcentral lists this long non-coding RNA (296 nucleotides) under Mustela putorius furo (domestic ferret). RNAcentral describes it as "lncRNA (ENSMPUG00000024261.1)". Lineage: Eukaryota; Metazoa; Chordata; Mammalia; Carnivora; Mustelidae. The record is from RNAcentral.
GCUCUGGGUCACAUGGGAGAGCCAGAAGAAGCCUUUCCCAAAUCCUGUCCCUUGGACUUUUGCCUGGACAGGACCGUGUUUCCACAGAGGCAGGAGGAAAUGAGACCAGGAAGGGCAAGGUGUCCCGUGCAAUUUUGGUAGCUGGCCUCCCGGUUUUCUGCUGCAUUUCGGGGAUUCACAGACUGGCGGGCUCACCACGCAGGCAGAAAUGACUUGUUCGGUCCUCUGGUUUCUUAUGGUGAGUAAAUACGUCUAACUGUUGGAUUUGCUAAUUAUUGUGAUUUUUCGGGGUGAGG